UUGAGACCAUAAAUUAAAUUAAGACUUUACCGUAUGAUCUCUUUCACGCCACGAUCUUAAAUGAAAAAUGAUUCUUUGGGUGCACUGGUGAUUCUGUGACGUCUAAAGGUUCCAAGUCAUCAUCUGAGAAAAUUGAGAUGGCAAGAUCUCUUAUAUACAUCAGGGCACCUUGGAAGAACAAAGCUUUGAAAUCUGACGAGCACAGGCCUGUGAUCCAUCCAGAAGUAAUUCAUUGUGUAGAAAUUUAUCAGAAGAGAUACGGCUCUUUGAAAGUAAUAGCUUACCCUUUAGUUACAACUUACACAUACUUAUUCUUAUGGUGAAAGCUCCAGUUUUGAUUUCCAUGACUUGCAGAGCCAGGAAUUUCUUGUGUUGGGAAGCCAAUUCCUUAGUGAUCUAAGGGACAACAUUUAUUGUUUGACUGAUAAGUUGAUGAAGGUGGCUGGGAAACACGAUCUGCUAUAAAACUAAUAUUUUCAUUCUGUUUGUGCUUUUCUAAGGCACCUAACCAGGUUUUGUGAAGCUCGUGUCAGGACCUUCACAUUAUACCAAGAACAUGUGCCCUGUUGUUUCCUUUUCAACGAAACUUCUCUCUUUUCCUCCUAAUCAGAAGACCGUAGCUCAUGAACAAGCCAUGUUGAGCUGUAAGAAGCUGUUGUGGGUGCUGAAAUUAGCGAAGAUGAGAGCUUAGCGACCAUGGGCCUUCCGACAAGUGAUGAAAUGCAAAAGCAAGAAAUUGCCUGUUAUGCGAAGAUGGUGGCCAAAUUGGGGAAGCACAAACUGGUUCAGUUUGCUACAAUACAUUGUCUACGAUGAGAAUAGCUGAAAAUUCUGAAAAUUUCAUAUUUCAUUGUCUACGAUGAGAAUAGCUGAAAAUUCUGAAAAUUUCGGAGCAUCAGCAUAUGCACUUGGGCACACUCAGAUUAUCAUUAUAUUGGAGAAUAUGACCUACUCAUCUGAGCACCAAACACAUGUAUGCCAACUAGCCAAGCUGUUUACCUGCUCAACAUCACUUACAUCAUUGUUGGCUCUGUCAAUUUGAUAGAGUAAAAAUGGAUGAGAAACUGUAUAAUUUUUCAGUUUUGAUAGUGUCAAAUUUUUCAUAUGCCAAGAAACUUUACAAAUAUUCAGUUUUG
Long non-coding RNA from Phragmites australis (common reed), 1136 nucleotides. RefSeq lists it as uncharacterized. The record is from RefSeq and is a predicted model, not a curated record. The transcript has 3 exons. Lineage: Eukaryota; Viridiplantae; Streptophyta; Magnoliopsida; Poales; Poaceae.